AUGCUCUGUCCUCAGUUCUCAGCUCCCAGUCCUCUAGUCUGAGAGAGCUAGACCUGAGUAAUAACAACCUGCAGGAUUCAGGAGUGAAGCUGCUGUCUGCUGGACUGGAGAGUCCACAUUUUAAACUGGAAAUCCUCAGGUCAGGAUUCAUUAACCCAUUUAACUGAUGACCCUGAAUACUCUGCUUUACAUUAGUGGAUAAACCGCUAACAUGUUGAGGUUUGUUUGCUAAUAUGAUUUGUUAAUUUACUUUUGACUUUCAAUGAGGAUUUUUCAUGAUUUUGCAUUUGUUUUGCUUUUGUUGUUGAAAUAUUACAUAUGCACGAAUUUAUUCUAACAUUGUAUCUGGACUAAAAUGUCCAACAUCUUACAAAAAAAACAAAAACGUACAAAAAAAGUUUUCCCACUGGGGGAUUCUUUUAGUACUGGUUGCUCUGACUAGUUUCCUCUGUCUAGUGGCUACUUUGAUAUACCACUGUGAAGUCACAUUAUUUUGUGUGAGUGCACAAUCUACGUGUCUUUUUCGCCGUUUUUGACUAGAUCACUCUACAUAAACAGAUUUUUAAGGUCCGUAUUAUGCAAAAUACACUUUGAUGUCUUUACCCACAUAGACAAAAUCUCUCCCUUUUUCUCCUGCUCAUUCUUUCAGUAAAUGUGUAUGCAAACACAGUUUGACCAUGUCCAUUCAUGACAUCAUGGAGGGAUCUGUGUAGGGACUGCUACGGCACAGGACCUCCUCCAGCCCUUCAGCACUGUAGAUGACCCCUCCCACUGAACGCAUAUUGAAUACACCUCAGCCAUGACCCCGCCAUAACACCAAUCGGUCAUUCCAUAGAGCUGCUAGAGCUGGAAGUUCAGUCAGUCUCGUAGAAAGUGCUUUUUUUUCGAUAAUGAAAGAAAGUUAAAUAUUUUCUGGUUUUCCCUCUGAUGCUGUCCUACUGCUCUUUUUUUUUUUGGAAGAUUUAAUUGUAAGACGUUGUGUGAGAUCAAGUAAUUUAUCUUUUAUUUAUUUAUUUUCCUUAUCUUGUAUAGAGAGAAGUGGCAUGACCGAGAGACAGUAGCGACAUGAAUGUAGAACAUCUUCUUGAAAAUGCUGUAGGCACAGGGUCAAUACCAUAGACUGUAUAUAAAAAUUGACAUAUAAUGUCCAUGACGUCAUCCAUUGGUUUCUGAAGAGCAGUUUUGAAGCCCAAAUUGGGCGGAGCCGGUCACCGCCAUCUUGGCAGCGCGUCACUGCACAUCACUCCCGGAUAACCAAAAAUGGGCAAAGAGGCGGGUCAUGGGUGAAGCUGAGGUAACUGGUUGCUGAAACCACUCCCACCUAGCUCGAUGUGACCAAGUUAGCUCAGGCUAAGGAGCUAAAUCUAUAUGCUACUCUGCGUUGUCAAAAGUAGCUUCUAAACCCCUGGGGGCUGUAUGGCUUAUUGCCGUGUUGUUACCAGUCUAUGGUCGUUACCAGCUUACACUCGAGGUAAGUUACCUGAACUACACAACAACACUUAAAAUAACUAUUUAUCUGUUAUUGACAUUAUAGUUCAUAAGGUUUAAAAUGCUUCAACAAUCUUUAAUAUGUAGAUGUAGUAAUGCUGAUGGAAGCUAUUUAACUUGUAAAACAUUUAUUAACUGUUAUUGCAGCUUUAGUUAAAGUAUUAACAAAUCACACAAGGUAAUUCCCCACAUCGCUAUGUUGAGUUACGUUGCUGCUGUCGGCAGUGCUGUGCGAGAUCAUUGUCUGGAAUAACACUGUUGUCACAACACAUUUGUCACAAGAUGUUUUUUUCUUUCAGUGAUCGGUUCUUGUUGAGGUCGCGAUGCCUCCACGUCUGCUAUAUACAGCUUAAACUUGUCACACUGUUCAUCAGAUGUCCACCUGGUGCCCAGAGAGCUACAGAGACCUGGGAAGCCUCCUCAUUGUGCUGGAAGUUUGUAUCUGCAUAGACUGAUGUACUUUUAGUUUUAAAUAUUGUCCAUAUUUGUGUUAUAUUUCCAUAUAAAAAAUAUGGUUUAUGGUUCACAUUGUAAUAAAUUCUAAAUAUA
This is a long non-coding RNA of Micropterus salmoides (largemouth bass), 2037 nucleotides long. RefSeq lists it as uncharacterized. The record is from RefSeq and is a predicted model, not a curated record. The transcript is spliced from 2 exons. Lineage: Eukaryota; Metazoa; Chordata; Actinopteri; Centrarchiformes; Centrarchidae.